This is a long non-coding RNA of Scleropages formosus (Asian bonytongue), 2700 nucleotides long. RefSeq lists it as uncharacterized. The record is from RefSeq and is a predicted model, not a curated record. Lineage: Eukaryota; Metazoa; Chordata; Actinopteri; Osteoglossiformes; Osteoglossidae. The transcript is spliced from 3 exons.
UGAACCUGGGACCUUCAAAAAGGUGAGGGCUCUAACCACUACUUUAGCUUUUAUGUGGGUUUUAUUGUUACUGAUACAAAUCAUGGCCAGGGUGCCCCUCCCACCUGCUGUGGUUUCCAUGUGAACAAGACUGAGGGGUCUGCCAGGUCCCAUGCGGUCACGGGGAUCACUGGAACGAGGGUUUGGGACCCGCACCACCACUGUGUGCAGUUUCUGACUGCGCUGGAACAGCGCACACCCCCUGUGCUCCCCACAGAGUUGUAGUGGAGGCGUUGCCACGGCAACCUGGUACCUAGUCCCCAGCUUGUGCAGAGUUAUUGAACUGCAGCCAGACUUCUGCCUUGGUGGAUAAUUAGGCUCCAUUCCGCAGACCAGCUCUCCAGCGGCUCGAACCCGGGGUGACCGGGGCAUCGGGACCCCUUGUCUUCUUGCAGUAACAUAUAUGAAACUGACACACAUACUUUCUGAAAUGUAUUUCAGGUCUGGGUAGUUGGCCGUCUGUGGUCAGGUGUAUUGUCCAAAGAGGUUGCAGGGUCAAGUCCCAGUAGGUGGCCUUUGCUUUGUACCUUUGGGUACAAUGAGUACACUACUCGCUCCUCUACUAAUAGGGUCAGCAGUCACCACAAACCACCCUCCUGGUCGAACCGCCUGGCUGGUUCAGGUUUUGCCUUCACAGGCAGUGGCAGUACUCUGUGUGUGUGCGUGUGUUUCGGGGGGUGUGUGAAAAUGCAGUCCUAUUGCUCUCCUCUGCAUUUAAGCGAAACCUGCGCAUACACUGCGUGUGUCUGCAAUACAGUCCGAUGUUAAACACAUACUGACUGCUGUUUUUACAGCUCUUCACACACCGAGCGCUGGCCAUCAGACUCCCCACAGCCCUCGGUACGUGGGGAUCGAUGACACGGUGCACUGACGGGCCCGUAAAACCGUCAUCCUUGCAGCCCCCAUAACAGACGGCCCAUACAGGGCAAUUAGGGCGGCCUCGUUUGGCGGGGCGGAGCCUUUCUGGUCAUCAGUCAUUGGCGAGGUCCCUGUGCACUUACUUAAACGUUGAUGUAUGUUUGCCCUCCCAACCCCAGAGUCCCCGGCGGUGCGAGGACAUCCGGCAUCAGUUGCAGACCCACGGUCAUUAGCAUGCGGCCCACGCUGUCACCCCAGCGUCCUCCUCUGGGGGGGGUAGCGGGAUGGUAUGGGUAAUGAGCUGAGGUGGAUUGUGUGUGUGCGCGCAUAUAUGGGGGGCUCAUAGUCACCCAGCAAUCCUAAAAAGGCCCUCUGACCCGCACGAGACAGAGACAGAGCGCUGUCCACACACACACACACACACACACAAACACACACACUCUCUUCACACUACUGUUACAUCUGAAUGUUCUCAAACCCAGAUACACAAACAACAAGAUAAAUAUACUGUACUGUACCUCAUCCGACACACACACACAAGGAGACACACUCAAUAAAUCCACUGUGUUUUCCCCAAGAAAACACACACAGAGGGAGAUGCAUUUGCUUUGUGGAAGACAGAGAGGUCGAAACACAUAGACGGUGAGGGGCUUCAACGGGGACUCCAGGAGGUGGUCCUGGGGGGUUCACAAGGGGUGGGGAAGAACAGGUGAGGAGCUGUGACAAAACACACUGGUAUGUUACCGCUUUAAUGUUUAAUAUAAAUUAAUGUAAAUUCUCGGGUUCGGUUUGCACCGUCCUGUUUUAUAAUAAGCACAGAAAAAGGUUAAUCUUCAUGUCAUACUGCGGUUAUUGUUUGUUUGUUCAACACAAUACUUUUCUGUCGCUUGGUAAUUGCCAUAAUUAAACAAACCUGAUUCUCAUUUCAGAAAGCAAGUUUCCUUCUCCCUCUUUUCAUUAACGACAUGGACUGUGUCCUGAAAUCAGCUACGGCUGCAUGAAAUUAGUCUUAAUUGGAAUAUAGAUUAAUGACAUAAUUUAGAUACAUUUUAUGAAACACUAAUUAUGUAUUACAUAGGAGGUAAUAAAAUGACUGUCAUCUCAAAUAUGUCACCACUGUAGGAAUUCUAUGAGGCUGAGCAUGUUUUAUGUUAUGUACACAUAUUUGUAUUUGCGUGUGUGCGUGUGUAAGUCUGCAGAUACCAUCCAUCUCCCUAUGAGGGCACCGUGUGGCUGUGAGCCAAGGACACAGCGACUCCCCCCCAAGAUGGCCAUGCGUGUUCCACCACAGCAAGGGGUCGAGUCCUCAUUUCCUCUGGAUCUGACAGCCAUGGGAGGUGUGGAAUAUACACCACAGUGAUGGGAUAGACACAUCCCCCAUCUCAUCAUCAUCAUCACCAUGCCCACAAGAAACAUCAUCCUCACGCCACAGGUGCUCCUCGUUGUGCCGAGGGGGGCGUGACAGCUACUAUGUGCACGCGGGGCUGAGCGAUUGUCAUCGUGACCACAGGGCGUACCUUCGACUGGGACAGCCUCAAGAUUCUGGCCAUGGAGGGAAUUCCUGGAAGCCUGGUUCUCCAGACUGAACUUGAUCAACUGGCAUGUGGACAUGGACGCCACUUCCCAUCCAGUCAGAGGAAAGGCACAUAAGGGAUCCCCACCAGGACCAGUUGGACAUGAAGUUCCAGAAAUCUCUGAUGUUGAAAGCUGAAGGUCAAGCUCAGAGAGUGUGGAAUCAAAGUAGAAGCUGCCCGUGUAGUACCCCGUGGCCAGUUCGAUCAGGUGACGUAACCAGGUGUUACC